Molecule: long non-coding RNA, 1672 nt
Organism: Gallus gallus (chicken)
Lineage: Eukaryota; Metazoa; Chordata; Aves; Galliformes; Phasianidae
Source: Ensembl
UUCUUUCUCUCUGUACUGUUUAUAUUUUAACUCUGUAAAUGUAUCUUCAGAAAGAAAAGGAAAGAAAGAAAGAAAUGAAGGGAGGAAGGGAGGAAGGGAGGAAGGAAGGGAGGAAGGGAGGAAGGGAGGAAGGGAGGAAGGGAGGAAGGAAGGAAGGAAGGAAGGAAGGAAGGAAGGAAGGAAGGAAGGAAGGAAGGAAGGAAGGAAGGAAGGAAGGAAGGAAGGGAAAGAAAAAAAACAAAGAAAAAAAGAAAGAAAAAACAUGGAAAGCACUUCAGGUGACAUCUUCCAUGGAGGACCCCUGUUCUUCAAGAUAGGAGAGAAUACUUCUUGAUCCACUAUAUAUGACAGAAUGGCCACAAACAACUGUAAUACAAUACAUCUUCUGUACAACAGGCUGUCUGAACUGGAGACACCUCCUCUCCCCUUUAAGAACAAUCUCUGAGACGGCAAAAUAAAACCCUCCACUUCCCCUACACCUUCUAUUCAGGUAUCUUCUUUCCAUGUAUUGAACCAAUCAUUGACCUUUGAGAUGGCAAAGUGAGUUUACAGAGCAAAAAGAUGAUCUUGUGGCCAUGGCGCAGCAGGUCUGAGUGCGACUACCAUUUCUUAUGCACAUAUUCAUCAUUUAUUAAUCUUACAGGGCUCAGACCAUCCCAAUGAAUCUUCAGCAUACAGGUAAAGAACACCAGAAUUUCCUGUAUCCCAUGCCCAGGCUGCCUCCAUCAGAAAACAGGCCACUGCAUGUGAGCAGGGAGCGAUCAGGUUCUGCUCCCAUUUUCUGCUGUUAUCUCCAGACAAAUUGUGUUAGUUUUACAGGCAAAAUCUAGUUUGUAUUAUUGUUUGCACUUCAGAGUCAAUAUGGAUAUGGAAGAAUAAGCUGAGAUAUAUACCUUGUGCAUCAUUAAUAAUAGUGCAGCUUUUCCGUAGCUACAAUACAAUUCCCAAACAUUUUGUUUAAUAGUAAGCAAUUUAUCAUGUCUGCCGUAUCACAAUCAGGUGGUUUAGUAUCCCCAGUUUACAAGAGGUCCUAUGCUCUGCACCUAUUUGUACUGCUUACACCGGGACAGAUCAACAAUCUGAGUGCUAUCUUUCAACCUGGAAAAUCCAGGUUCAAUUCCCUGGUGUAGCAAAAAAAUGAUCUAGGCUUCAGUAUCCUGUAUAUAAUACACAGAUAAAAAUACUUCCUUACUUUAUCAGAUGCUGUGAGGAUAAAUGCAUUAAAGUCUGUAAGUCCCACCAGUACUACAAUAGCCAUAAUUAUCUUGAAUAGAUACAUGCAGUGCAAGUACAGUGAUAUUUAAUACAUAUCCUAUGUGUAUAAACCAUGAGUCAGGGCUGAUACAAACACAAGCUAUGAUAAGGAAUUAAGAAUGGUGCUUACUUGCAUGCUCUUCCCCCGCUCAUGCUCCAUUAAAAUUUGUAAAUCACAGACCAGAUUCGUUUCUCACUCACGAUGGAGCAUGUCUCCCAGAAUCAGUGGUUUUAUCCCAGCUGUGCACUUAUGUAGGCAGGAGCCCAUUGUCCGAUUUGAGCCACUCAAUCUGCAAGAGAAAGAAUGAAAGGACUCGAGUCUGUAAAGUCAUUCAUUACAAUUUGGAAAUCAGUGGGGCUGCUGGAGGUUAGGCAAGGGCAGAAAUUGGUCUUUUAUCAUUCAAAUGCCAUAGAGGAG